RNAcentral lists this ribosomal RNA (622 nucleotides) under uncultured bacterium. RNAcentral describes it as "bacterial SSU rRNA". It matches the Rfam family "Bacterial small subunit ribosomal RNA", at positions 338 to 951 of the family's 1533-position model. The record is from RNAcentral.
CCUACGGGAGGCAGCAGUGGGGAAUUUUGGACAAUGGACGCAAGUCUGAUCCAGCCAUGCCGCGUGUGGGAAGAAGGCCUUCGGGUUGUAAACCACUUUUGUCAGGGAAGAAACGGUCUAGGUUAAUACCUUGGGCUAAUGACGGUACCUGAAGAAUAAGCACCGGCUAACUACGUGCCAGCAGCCGCGGUAAUACGUAGGGUGCAAGCGUUAAUCGGAAUUACUGGGCGUAAAGCGUGCGCAGGCGGUUAUGCAAGACAGAUGUGAAAUCCCCGGGCUCAACCUGGGAACUGCAUUUGUGACUGCAUGGCUAGAGUACGGUAGAGGGGGAUGGAAUUCCGCGUGUAGCAGUGAAAUGCGUAGAUAUGCGGAGGAACACCGAUGGCGAAGGCAAUCCCCUGGACCUGUACUGACGCUCAUGCACGAAAGCGUGGGGAGCAAACAGGAUUAGAUACCCUGGUAGUCCACGCCCUAAACGAUGUCAACUGGUUGUUGGGAGGGUUUCUUCUCAGUAACGUAGCUAACGCGUGAAGUUGACCGCCUGGGGAGUACGGCCGCAAGGUUGAAACUCAAAGUAGUAGUGACGNGNGAGAGCGACGACGACGACGACGGAGGGAGGAGG